Molecule: ribosomal RNA, 468 nt
Filed under: uncultured bacterium
Lineage: Bacteria
Description: partial 16S ribosomal RNA
Rfam family: Bacterial small subunit ribosomal RNA
Source: RNAcentral
GACGAACGCUGGCGGCGUGCUUAACACAUGCAAGUCGAACGGAAAGGCCCUGCUUUUGUGGGGUGCUCGAGUGGCGAACGGGUGAGUAACACGUGAGUAACCUGCCCUUGACUUUGGGAUAACUUCAGGAAACUGGGGCUAAUACCGGAUAGGAGCUCCUGCUGCAUGGUGGGGGUUGGAAAGUUUCGGCGGUUGGGGAUGGACUCGCGGCUUAUCAGCUUGUUGGUGGGGUAGUGGCUUACCAAGGCUUUGACGGGUAGCCGGCCUGAGAGGGUGAACGGCCACAUUGGGACUGAGAUACGGCCCAGAAUGCUACGGGAGGCAGCAGUGGGGAAUAUUGCACAAUGGGCGGAAGCCUGAUGCAGAAACGCCGCGUGCGGGAUGACGGCCUUCGGGUUGUAAACCGCUUUCGCCUGUGACGAAGCGUGAGUGACGGUAAUGGGUAAAGAAGCACCGGCUAACUACGUG